Molecule: long non-coding RNA, 379 nt
Organism: Culex pipiens pallens (northern house mosquito)
Lineage: Eukaryota; Metazoa; Arthropoda; Insecta; Diptera; Culicidae
Exons: 3
Source: RefSeq, a predicted model, not a curated record
GUGUCAGGGAGUUGGUCCAAACCCGCACCAUCCAAACUAACCGUCAAGGACCGCGCUCUACGUCAAAAGUGGUCGUUUGGUUGGUGGUGCAAGGAGGUAACAAAAAUGUGAACCUCCAAGUUGGCAGAGCGCGCCAACCCGAGAAUCUGUUAGAGCGCAAUGGCGGAGGCCAUCCGGUUUUUAUCCAAGACAAAGACACAAAACCAAAGACACCAAAACCGUUGCUGCGCCAGGCCUGGCCGGAGGAAGAACCUCCGACUUGACUCGACCACCGCGGGAUACACUAGAACACACGAACACACACACACAUGUUUAGGUUAGUUUUAAAUCGACGUAAAAUCAAUAAAUUAGGACAACUUAAAACGCAAUAAACAUGACU